RNAcentral lists this transfer RNA (69 nucleotides) under Sirembo imberbis (golden cusk). Its description in RNAcentral is "tRNA-Ala". It matches the Rfam family "tRNA". Rfam says of the family: Transfer RNA (tRNA) molecules are approximately 80 nucleotides in length. Their secondary structure includes four short double-helical elements and three loops (D, anti-codon, and T loops). The record is from RNAcentral. Lineage: Eukaryota; Metazoa; Chordata; Actinopteri; Ophidiiformes; Ophidiidae.
AAGGUCUUGGCUUAAUUAAAGUGUCUGCUUUGCAUGCAGGAGAUGUAGGAUAGUGGCCUGCAGGUCUUA